CCUACGGGAGGCAGCAGUGAGGAAUAUUGGUCAAUGGACGAGAGUCUGAACCAGCCAAGUAGCGUGAAGGAUGACUGCCCUACGGGUUGUAAACUUCUUUUAUAUGGGAAUAAAAUGAGCCACGUGUGGGAUUUUGUAUGUACCAUAUGAAUAAGGAUCGGCUAACUCCGUGCCAGCAGCCGCGGUAAUACGGAGGAUCCGAGCGUUAUCCGGAUUUAUUGGGUUUAAAGGGAGCGUAGGUGGAUUGUUAAGUCAGUUGUGAAAGUUUGCGGCUCAACCGUAAAAUUGCAGUUGAAACUGGCAGUCUUGAGUACAGUAGAGGUGGGCGGAAUUCGUGGUGUAGCGGUGAAAUGCUUAGAUAUCACGAAGAACUCCGAUUGCGAAGGCAGUUCACUGGACUGCAACUGACACUGAGGCUCGAAAGUGUGGGUAUCAAACAGGAUUAGAUACCCUUGUAGUC
RNAcentral lists this ribosomal RNA (460 nucleotides) under uncultured bacterium. Its description in RNAcentral is "partial 16S ribosomal RNA". It matches the Rfam family "Bacterial small subunit ribosomal RNA", at positions 338 to 795 of the family's 1533-position model. The record is from RNAcentral.